Molecule: ribosomal RNA, 492 nt
Filed under: uncultured bacterium
Lineage: Bacteria
Description: partial 16S ribosomal RNA
Rfam family: Bacterial small subunit ribosomal RNA
Source: RNAcentral
AGUGAACGCUGGCGGUAGGCCUAACACAUGCAAGUCGAACGGCAGCACAGUAAGAGCUUGCUCUUACGGGUGGCGAGUGGCGGACGGGUGAGGAAUACAUCGGAAUCUACUUUUUCGUGGGGGAUAACGUAGGGAAACUUACGCUAAUACCGCAUACGACCUACGGGUGAAAGCAGGGGAUCUUCGGACCUUGCGCGAUUGAAUGAGCCGAUGUCGGAUUAGCUAGUUGGCGGGGUAAAGGCCCACCAAGGCAACGAUCCGUAGCUGGUCUGAGAGGAUGAUCAGCCACACUGGAACUGAGACACGGUCCAGACUCCUACGGGAGGCAGCAGUGGGGAAUAUUGGACAAUGGGCGCAAGCCUGAUCCAGCCAUACCGCGUGGGUGAAGAAGGCCUUCGGGUUGUAAAGCCCUUUUGUUGGGAAAGAAAAGCAGCAGGUUAAUACCCCGCUGUCCUGACGGUACCCAAAGAAUAAGCACCGGCUAACUUCGUG